CAAGUGGCACAAAAAGGCCGUUUCAGUCAGCCGAUGGGAUGGAGACAGUCAGCAUUAUGCAGACGUCAAAUCAAUCAAAAACAAAAGCUCGCAUGACGCAGAAGAUACUGCGCGCUUGGUGCUGCAGAGGUGUUUUGGCCAAACGAGGGAGACUGCAACUGGCUUACUGGAUACAAGCAGCCUGUGAGCCUUCUUCAUUCAGAAUAAACCAGGUUCAACCACGUUCCUUUCCGGUAAAUUGUUCUUUAAGGAACGGAGUAAUGCUGAUCCCCAGCCGGCUGUGCAGUAAGAGGCUUCAGUGGCUGGUGGCCAUGGUGCUGACGACUGGGAAGGCUUCCAACCUCAGAUCCCUGAUUGACCCAGGAGCGGUCAAACUCGGCAGGAAGCCCAUCGCAACCAGCCAGCGCCAUUUAUCCACUUACCAAUGAAACCAAUUACUUUUACAGCGAGCCUCGGCGCCGACACUGAAUGUGUUGUUCCUUCAGACCAAUAGAGUAUGACUGUGAAAGGAGGGUGAGACAAGAAGUAGGAAACCCUCCUGAGCUGCUUCAACAGGCUGUAAAAUAUACCUAAAGUCAGUCUCCAUGGAGACUCACCGACGUGUGAGAGGUCCCUCAUUACUGUCGCUGACACCUUUAACUGUUACUACAUUGCAUAUCAUUCAUCCUGCUGACCACUUCCACUAUUUCAAUCCUUUCUCGUGGGAAUUGAAUGGAUUGUACAUAUUUUACGUCAUUCAUUCUAUGACAUCUUGUCUAUUAUAGAGGGAUCCUCCACGCUUUUGUCCCCUUUUCGGACAGACCUUAAAAUUUAUGAUUUUGGUCAAUACUAAAUUAAUAUAAUUCAACCAUUUUUUUGUAUAAAUCAUUUGUUUUAGUAUUAUUAUUAUAAUAAUUAUUACUGAUGUCAGAAAAGUUUUAGAGUUGUAAACUAAUUGAAUAAACAAUUAAUAUAAACACAAAU
Gasterosteus aculeatus aculeatus (three-spined stickleback) is the source of this 963-nucleotide long non-coding RNA. Lineage: Eukaryota; Metazoa; Chordata; Actinopteri; Perciformes; Gasterosteidae. The record is from Ensembl.